CUUUUGAUGAGAAAAUGCCCUCCUAUGUGUGGUCCCUCUUUUUACUUUUCCUUUUGUUGGAUGGACUGGUGGACAUAAAUUGUAUCUGGACCUACCAGAACAGAUCACUUUACAUGCUGUGUACUUUGGGUCCAGCCUCAGCAGAGAGAAGAGCAAGUGGUCAUGCCAAAAUGGUGUGGGUCAGAGAAGGUCACGGGAUUUGGCACAUGACCCAGACUGGGUCAUUUACUGAAAUGAGGAAAGCCUGGUGUAAGAAUUAUAUGAGGCCAGAUGCUGAGGGUGGCAGUGAGCGUGGGCAGCCAGGGGCAACCCUCUCGACUCCCGAGCAGAGAACCCUUGGUCCCUAGGGCUGGAUGCAAGUGUCAGGGAAGAUGCUUUGGCAGCAAUGCAGCAGGAUUCCCCACAUUUGGUGACAGCAAUAUUCAGAAGAAAAUAAUCUGCAAUACUGCAUCAUCCCUCUGUGUUGUCUUCUUCCCUCAUCACAUUAAAACCCAUGGAGUCCUCUACUGUAACCAAGGUAGAACAGACACACACAGAAGGAAGAUGUCAUGUGAUGAUGGAGGCAGAGAUUGGAGUGAUACAGCUACAAGCCAAGGAACACCAAGGAUUGUUGGCAGCCACUAGAAGCUCAGAAGAGACAGGGAAGGAUUCUUCCCUAGAACCUUCAAAGGCAGCAUGGCUCUGCUGACACCUUGACAUAUCAAGGGGUGACUUCUAGUCCCCAGAUGUGUGAGAGAAUGAUUUUGUUCUAAGUUGCCCAUUUGUGCAAAGGUGUGUUAAGUUUCCAGUGAUAGGAACAUCGUAUGGAGAAAGGGCAUCCUGAGAGAUGAAUGAGUCUGUUCUCUGCCCCAGCCAGGAUAAUAAUACCUCUAUCAUCCCAUACCCAGAGAAUGUAUCCACUUUCAUAUUUUCUAGGAAAGUGACUUCAACAGCUUCUGAAAGACCCCUGGAGUGCUUAAUACAGUUUUUGCCAGGGAAUUCUCUUCCUUAAAUUGCUUACAUCAUGGAAUAAAAAUGAUCUGGGAUAAGUUAAAAUUUUAAAAAAUAAAAUAUUUUCUCU
RNAcentral lists this long non-coding RNA (1060 nucleotides) under Equus caballus (horse). RNAcentral's name for it is "lncRNA (ENSECAG00000050001.1)". The record is from RNAcentral. Lineage: Eukaryota; Metazoa; Chordata; Mammalia; Perissodactyla; Equidae.